UACAGAGGUCUCAAGCGUUGUUCGGAUUCAUUGGGCGUAAAGGGUGCGUAGGCGGCGCGGUAAGUCGGGUGUGAAAUCUCGGAGCUUAACUCCGAAACUGCAUUCGAUACUGCCGUGCUUGAGGACUGGAGAGGAGACUGGAAUUUACGGUGUAGCGGUGAAAUGCGUAGAGAUCAUGAGGAACACCGGUGGCGAAGGCGGAUCUCUGGGCCUUACCUGACGCUGAGGCGCGAAAGCUAGGGGAGCGAACAGG
This 253-nucleotide ribosomal RNA is filed under the name uncultured bacterium. RNAcentral describes it as "partial 16S ribosomal RNA". It matches the Rfam family "Bacterial small subunit ribosomal RNA", at positions 524 to 776 of the family's 1533-position model. The record is from RNAcentral.